GCCACACUGGGACUGAGACACGGCCCAGACUCCUACGGGAGGCAGCAGUGGGGAAUAUUGCACAAUGGGCGCAAGCCUGAUGCAGCAACGCCGCGUGAGGGACGACGGCCUUCGGGUUGUAAACCUCUUUUAGCAGGGAAGAAGCGAAAGUGACGGUACCUGCAGAAAAAGCGCCGGCUAACUACGUGCCAGCAGCCGCGGUAAUACGUAGGGCGCAAGCGUUAUCCGGAAUUAUUGGGCGUAAAGAGCUCGUAGGCGGUUUGUCGCGUCUGCUGUGAAAUCCGGAGGCUCAACCUCCGGCCUGCAGUGGGUACGGGCAGACUAGAGUGCGGUAGGGGAGAUUGGAAUUCCUGGUGUAGCGGUGGAAUGCGCAGAUAUCAGGAGGAACACCGAUGGCGAAGGCAGAUCUCUGGGCCGUAACUGACGCUGAGGAGCGAAAGGGUGGGGAGCAAACAGGCUUAGAUACCCUGGUAGUCC
RNAcentral lists this ribosomal RNA (477 nucleotides) under Microbacterium sp. 22(2011). RNAcentral's name for it is "bacterial SSU rRNA". It matches the Rfam family "Bacterial small subunit ribosomal RNA", at positions 307 to 796 of the family's 1533-position model. The record is from RNAcentral. Lineage: Bacteria; Bacillati; Actinomycetota; Actinomycetes; Micrococcales; Microbacteriaceae.